CCCUUAGAUGUUCUGGGCUGCACGCGCGCUACACUGAAGCGUUCAACGAGUAUUCACCUUGCCCGGGAGGGUUGGGUAAUCUUUUGAAAACGCUUCGUGAUGGGGAUAGAUUAUUGCAAUUAUUAAUCUUCAACGAGGAAUUCCUAGUAAGCGCGAGUCAUCAGCUCGUGCUGAUUACGUCCCUGCCCUUUGUACACACCGCCCGUCGCUACUACCGAUUGAAUGAUUUAGUGAGGACUUCGGACUGGGACCGAUGCGGCUUUCGGGCUGCGUCGGUAUUCUGGAAAGAUGUCCAAACUGUAUCAUUUAGAGGAAGUAAAANUCGUAACA
This 330-nucleotide ribosomal RNA is filed under the name uncultured eukaryote. RNAcentral describes it as "partial 18S ribosomal RNA". It matches the Rfam family "Eukaryotic small subunit ribosomal RNA", at positions 1470 to 1796 of the family's 1831-position model. The record is from RNAcentral.